Long non-coding RNA from Hippocampus comes (tiger tail seahorse), 848 nucleotides. RefSeq lists it as uncharacterized. The record is from RefSeq and is a predicted model, not a curated record. The transcript has 3 exons. NCBI's taxonomy places the organism in Eukaryota, Metazoa, Chordata, Actinopteri, Syngnathiformes, Syngnathidae.
GAAGAACAAGAUUCAGUGGAAUUUAUGGCCGAGGCGGCAAUUUCAUUAGAAGCGGCUUUCACCAGCGAGUGUUUUAGUGCUGUGAUGAUGGUUGGAAAUAUUUGCCAGGAUCCACCUGGAUGAACUGAAGUGUUGCUAAGCGACUGGAACCCGGGCUUGUUAAAACUGUUAUUUGAUUGCUCUUUUCUGCUAAUGUGACGUUUCUGAGCGCGCGUGCUGUUUCCGAAUGACCGCGAACGCACCGCAGCCACGGAGGACGUCACAUUUCGCUCGCUCGCUCGGGAGACGCAACUUUCGAGCACUUUUCCGUGCAAGACAAACGGCUCGGGAUAAAUCAAAGUUGCUCUUUUCUCUGUGUCAGCUGCUAGGCAGUGGACUUGAAUCCCGUGGCAUUUGGGGGCGGGGCAAGGAGAGCGCAGCGUUUUGAAGAAGACCCGAUCCCGCCAGGAAUGAUGUCAAAACUGAGAUUGAAAUGAGUUGAUGGUGAGACGUAACUGUCGGCACGAAAAAAGUGCACCGUUGGAUCUCCACAUGCACUCGGAGCAGGCGCACUAACAUGCGAGAUUGAAUCGUUGAGGGAUUGAACCGGGCCUUCUGCUGCUUGGAUGCCGCGUGGGACGUCAGCGAAGGACAUUGGGAUUUUCGCGGCCACCUGUUUUCCUGGAGGGUGGUAGGACAAUCUAAAUGAUUUCCCUUGUUUUCGACUAGAAAAAUCCAUUAAAAAAAAAAAAAAAAAUCUGAGACCACAUGCGGUACACUCCAACAUCCCAAGUUUCCCACUACACAUCUGCAUCACGCUAUUUUUUCCCCCAGAUUUUAGUGAAUGUGCACAUGCUAGGAUACGCCAA